AAUGAAAUAGAAAUAGGUGGAAUGACAUAAAGAUACUAAAGGGAUACCACCUGGAAUUUAGGGACUAUUUUGUGAUUCAGGAUUUUGUAUGUUUCCAUGGAGCCAUCUGUAAUGCUUGCAGGAGCAGAGCUCUGAUCUGGAGAUAUCAGUAGCUCAGUAAAAAUUCUGAGAUGCCAGAGUCCCUUAGUAUUGAGACCUUUCUGGUUUUUUUGGGGGUAAACUUGGUCUGAGCCAUUGGAAAUACCCAUAUGGAUUCACAGGAAUACCUUCUGAUGAUUUCUAUCAGUGGACUAAUGUAACUCUUCUCCGGUCAUCUCUUACAGUUACAGAACUGGUGGCAGAUUUGUUCCCUCACCAAUCUUUCUGCAGUUGGAGAAGAUCCAUCAAAGCAGGAGAGAAGCAGAAAAUGAUUGGAUCUUAUUUCCUUGUGACCUUGGGCUGUGACACCAUUUGACCUCAGGAGUUUAAGUAGGGUCAGAGCAGCACUUGAAAGAGGCUAACAUGUAUUUUUUUUCUGUAGGCUGUUUUGAUGAAUCAGUGGUUGAAACUAUGGUUUCUGAAUUAAUGCUGUUCUAAUCCACUGACAAAGUAUUCGGAAUAUGUUUUGUUACUCUGUGUGCUAUUUGUGAGUGAGUCUGAAAAUGGAUGUUAACUGCUAGUAUCUUCUUAAUAGCUUUCGUGUAUGAGGGUCAUUUUACUUUUUUAGCCACAUUUUAAUUCAGGUAUUUAGACAAUGGUAACUUUUUUUUUUUAAUGUAAUUUUGAUUUACCCCCCUUGUCUUUGCUGUUUUCCCUGCAUUUUAAGUGCUGUUUUAUGGUGCCUAUCUCUGCUUGCUUUUCAUUCUGUGGAGAAUGCAAUAAUGUAAGCAAUAUCAUUAGUUAUGCAAAGAGAGAUUUAACAU
This 902-nucleotide long non-coding RNA is filed under the name Manacus vitellinus (golden-collared manakin). RNAcentral's name for it is "lncRNA (ENSMVIG00005014826.1)". Lineage: Eukaryota; Metazoa; Chordata; Aves; Passeriformes; Pipridae. The record is from RNAcentral.